This 313-nucleotide unclassified non-coding RNA is filed under the name Zea mays. RNAcentral's name for it is "misc RNA Zm00001eb050800". The record is from RNAcentral. Lineage: Eukaryota; Viridiplantae; Streptophyta; Magnoliopsida; Poales; Poaceae.
AUUGUCGCCGCCGUUGGCCAGGCUCAUCGUCGUCUGCUGCCUGGAGCAGGACGCGGGCGUCGACUUGGGAGGCGGCAUCAGGUCGCACGGGUCCCCCGCCGACACCGCGCACGCCCCGCCGCCGCCGCGCCUGUCGUCCUCUGCUGGGACUGGGACGUCCCCGCCGCACGACUUGCCGCCGGCUUCGGUGCCGGUUCCACCACCAGAGGCCGCCGGCGCCGCAUCCGCCGCCGCCGGUGCCGGCGUCGGUGCCUCGCAGAAGAACUCCGAGAAGAUGUCCUUGUCCAGCGAGUCGGCCAGCGCGAAGGGGAAC